This 255-nucleotide ribosomal RNA is filed under the name uncultured bacterium. RNAcentral describes it as "partial 16S ribosomal RNA". It matches the Rfam family "Bacterial small subunit ribosomal RNA", at positions 524 to 776 of the family's 1533-position model. The record is from RNAcentral.
UACGGGGGGGGGCAAGCGUUGUUCGGAAUUACUGGGCGUAAAGGGCGCGUAGGCGGUUUGCUAAGUUGAAUGUGAAAACUCUGGGCUUAACCCAGAGCCUGCAUUCAAUACUGGCAGGCUAGAGUUCUGGAGGGGAUAGCGGAAUUCCUGGUGUAGCGGUGAAAUGCGUAGAUAUCAGGAGGAACACCGGUGGCGAAGGCGGCUAUCUGGACAGAGUCUGGACGCUGAGGCGCGAAAGCUAGGGGAGCAAACAGG